CUCCUCUGCUCCAGGCUGGGUUGGGCUCUGAGCAAGGGGAGGGUUUAGAGCCUCCUCCCUCUCUGCCCCUCCCCAUGUGUCUCUAGGGGGCUGGUGCAGGCAGCAGCAGAGGCAGUCUGGGCAGCUGCGUGAGGGCCCAUGUGGGCAAGGCCCCCAGUGGCCGCCUUCUCUCCCAGGGCCCUGUGGGCAGGCCUCCUGCUUCACUUGCAGGUUUCUUGAAGUGCCUUCUUGCUCCUGUCUGUUUCUCCAUCCUGCCAGAUAUCUGUUUCUCUUGCUGGGCUGGUGGCAGGAGGGGGCCAUGUUGGUGGGCCCCACAGAGAUGCUCAGUGCUCGAGAUCGCCGGGACCGGCCCCCUGAGGAGGGGGUAGCUGCAGAGCUCCAGGGCUUCGCGGUGGACAAGAACUUCCUCAUCUCCCUCAAAGGCAUCCUGCUGGAAACUGAGCUGGCCCUGACCUUCAUCAUCUUCAUCUGCUUCACGGCCUCCAUCUCUGCCUACAUGGCUGCAGCGCUGCUGGAGUUCUUCAUCACACUUGCCUUCCUCUUCCUCUACACCACCCAGUACUACCAGCGCUUCGACCGGCUUAACUGGCCCUGUUUGGACUUCCUGCGCUGUGUCAGUGCCAUCAUCAUCUUCCUGGUGGUCUCCUUUGCAGCUGUGACCUCCCGGGAUGGAGCUGCCAUUGCUGCUUUUGUUUUUGGCAUCAUCCUGGUUUCCGUCUUUGCCUAUGAUGCCUUCAAAAUCUACCGGACUGAGAUAGCACCGGGGGCCAGCCAGGAAAUUAGGCAGGUCAGGAAUGCCAAGGAGUACUGAUGGAAGUGCUGCCGGAGCAGGUUGUGGCCCCUCUUUUGGACCAGGUCUGAGCAGUGAGGAUGUGGGGGCUACCCAGAAGAAGCUGAAGACAUCCUCCAACACAAAACUUCUACGCCACACUUCUGUGUACAAGACCAUUUUGUGGUAUGCCUGGUGGCUGGGCAUCUGGAGUUCUGUGUCUGAGAAGGCACAGCCUUCCUGAUGGCGCACACACCCACCACCACACCUGUUCCCACAGCUUGUUGACCUGGGACUCAGCGAUGUCUGCCCGCUCCUCCGCCUCAUCCAGCUCGUGCUGCACCUUUCGGAACUUGGACAGGUUGGUGUUGGCCUGCUCCUCCUGCGGUGGGACAAUGGGGAUGGGUGAAUGAGCUGAGAUGGGCUUCGGGAUUCUCAACCUCUCAGCCUGAGGUUCCAGCUCCCUGUCCCUGAGACACUCAUGCCUCGGGCAUAUUCCCUUUCCAAGGGUAUCUUGCACCCGCCUUGUACCCUCCUCAAACGUGUCCAGCAUUUGGAGUCCUUCACAGCCAUCCACUGCCCAAGACAAAUACAGUUUUGCUGCACCUGUCCUGGCCCCUGGGUUUCUGAGCAGACAUGCUCAUCAGCAGCUCACAUCCACCCAGACAUCUUCCCCAUUGCCCUAUGCCUAGCUGGGUCCCCUUCCAGGCCUAAUUCCAUGGUCAACUUCCUGCCUUCAGCUUUGACUGCUCCUGUCCUGCGCUAGCAUCUACACUGCCUUCUGUUGGAUUACGGUGUCUGAAGCUUGUAGGUGGUGCCUUUGUUAACUCAGAACACCUGACACAGCUCUGAACAUACCAGAUGUGUAAAAUUAAUGUUUGAGAGUUAAAGUUUAUAGCAAACUCUUUGUCUAGGCACCUCUGUGGGAGAUGCUCAUUGGUUCUCACACACAAUAGGUAUGUUGAUGAGAAAGGAAAGAAAACCUUGAACUCACCGCCUCCUCGGCCUGGCGCUUGUAGGCCUUGACCUUCAGUUGCAACUUGUCCACCAGGUCCUGCAGACGCAGCAGAUUCUUUUUGUCUUCCUCUGUCUGGGGGUGGGAGGGUGGAAGGGUGGGAGAAGCUAAUUUGGAGGAGGAGCAAAUGCAAUCACCUUUCCCUCCUCCAUCAUUUUACUCUUCUUUUGCCUUUACUGCCCCUCCCUACAAUGGUCCAGGUCAAAGAGAUGGGGGGGAAGACUCUCCCACUCUAUUGUAGGCCAAAGGGGUGAUGCAAGGUUGUCAGUCAGGGAUUCACAAAGCAAUGAAGGCUGCAGUCUUAAAGCUAGAAGUUGGAGGAGAGGCUCAGACCCUAAUGGAAUUCCUUAAUGUGGUAAUAGAAAGGGACCAGGUCUGUUCCAGCUCCAAUCUGGUGGAUAAAGCUCCAACUUGGACCUACACAGGUGCUCUUGGCCAGCAGUUCUUGACCAGAGGAGGAAUAAUGAAGAAUGCAGAAAGAAGGGGGUAUUAUCAUAACCCAGAUUAUUCUACAUUCUAAUAUAUUGUAUUGGACCAGAAUUCAGGCCUCAGGAUCACUGGCUCCAACGUCACGCCACCCUUCCUAUCUGUUUAUCAUUGUAUGUGCCAGGAUGCCAUUUCUACUUCUGCCCACAAAUCACCCUGUGGUUCUGUAUCUGUAAUCUUUCUUGUGCCUCUGGCAUCCAUCUAUUAAAUGGAGUGACACCCUCA
This is an RNA transcript of Callithrix jacchus (white-tufted-ear marmoset), 2495 nucleotides long. It is a transcript of the gene named CKLF like MARVEL transmembrane domain containing 5, with no coding region annotated. NCBI's taxonomy places the organism in Eukaryota, Metazoa, Chordata, Mammalia, Primates, Cebidae. The record is from RefSeq and is a predicted model, not a curated record.